This 482-nucleotide ribosomal RNA is filed under the name uncultured bacterium. Its description in RNAcentral is "partial 16S ribosomal RNA". It matches the Rfam family "Bacterial small subunit ribosomal RNA", at positions 28 to 523 of the family's 1533-position model. The record is from RNAcentral.
AGUGAACGUUGGCGGCGUGGAUUAGGCAUGCAAGUCGAGCGAGAACCGUAGCAAUACGGGGACAGCGGCGAAAGGGACAGUAAUGUGUAGGUACCUACCUCCGGGUUCGGGAUAGCUGCGGGAAACUGCAGGUAAUACCGAAUAACGUCUCCGGACCAAAGGUGUGAUUCCACCUGGAGAGGGGCCUGCAUCCUAUUAGCUUGUUGGCGGGGUAACGGCCCACCAAGGCGACGAUGGGUAGCGGGUGUGAGAGCACGACCCGCGUCAUUGGGACUGAGACACUGCCCAGACACCUACGGGUGGCUGCAGUCGUGAAUCUUCGGCAAUGGGCGCAAGCCUGACCGAGCGACGCCGCGUGCGGGAUGAAGGCCUUCGGGUUGUAACCCGCUGUCGUAGAGGAGGAAAUGCAGGGGGGUUCUCCCUUCUGUUUGACCUAUUCUAGGAGGAAGGACGGGCUAAGUUCGUGCCAGCCGCCGCCGUAA